GGUGGUUCUUGGGUGACACGCCGCGGAAUCAGGCUCCCUCCUCUCUGGUUCCGGGUGCAUCACCUGAGAACUACA
Molecule: non-coding RNA, 75 nt
Organism: Myotis davidii
Lineage: Eukaryota; Metazoa; Chordata; Mammalia; Chiroptera; Vespertilionidae
Source: Rfam